RNAcentral lists this long non-coding RNA (554 nucleotides) under Micromonas pusilla. RNAcentral's name for it is "long non-coding RNA (MPUS_LNC000114)". Lineage: Eukaryota; Viridiplantae; Chlorophyta; Mamiellophyceae; Mamiellales; Mamiellaceae. The record is from RNAcentral.
UUUUUGAAGAGCAAUCUGCCCGACCGCGCGCGCGAGAUCGCGCGGCGCGAGACGCUCAUCCACGACGGGUCGGUUCGCGCGUCCGCGCGUUCGACCCCGGAAGUGCGAUGUUCGCGCAGUUCGAGGACGAGGACGAUGACUACGACGCCGUGGAAGAGGUCCGUCGCGACGCCGUUCCUCGACGAGAUUCAUUCAUUCAUUCCUCUCCUCCCCCGAGAGAACCCUCGCGCGUCGAUCGAUCCCGUCGUCGCCUCGUCGAUCGAUCGCGGGCCUCCGCCUCGAUCGCCCCCACCCCCCUCCCCCGCCCCAUCGUCCGAUCCCUCCCGCUCACGCCGCGCUCCUCCUCCUCCUCCCCCUCCUCGCGUCGCGAUCGCAGGAGCGACCGACGACGGCGCCUGCCCCGCCGGGCGCGGCGCCGGUGCCGACGAUCCCCGCGGCCGACGCCGCGACGUUCGCGGCGGUCCAGCCCGGGGGCGACGGCGACGGCGACGGCGACGGCGACGAUUACGACGACUACGACGACGAGGGCGAGGAAGAGGGCGAGGGCGANNNNN